ACGAACGCUGGCGGCGUGCCUAACACAUGCAAGUCGAACGGAGUAUAUUUUCUAGCUUGCUGGCAGAUAUACUUAGUGGCGCACGGGUGAGUAACACGUGGGCAAUCUACCCGGAAGACUGGGAUAACAGUGCGAAAGUGCUGCUAAUACCGGAUAUUUUCACGAAGUCGCAUGACUUUGUGCCAGAAAGUCUUUCGCUUCCGGAUGAGCCCGCGUCCCCAUUAGCUAGUUGGUGAGGUAACGGCUCACAAAGGCGACGAUGGGUAGCUG
Molecule: ribosomal RNA, 270 nt
Filed under: uncultured bacterium
Lineage: Bacteria
Description: partial 16S ribosomal RNA
Rfam family: Bacterial small subunit ribosomal RNA
Source: RNAcentral